GACGAACGCUGGCGGCGUGCUUAACACAUGCAAGUCGAGCGGUAAGGCCCUUUCGGGGGUACACGAGCGGCGAACGGGUGAGUAACACGUGGGUGACCUGCCCUCAGCUCUGGGAUAAGCCUGGGAAACCGGGUCUAAUACCGGAUAUGACUCCAUGACGCAUGUUGUGGGGUGGAAAGCCUUGUGCGGCUGAGGAUGGGCCCGCGGCCUAUCAGCUUGUUGGUGGGGUGANGGCCUACCAAGGCGACGACGGGUAGCCGGCCUGAGAGGGCGACCGGCCACACUGGGACUGAGACACGGCCCAGACUCCUACGGGAGGCAGCAGUGGGGAAUAUUGGACAAUGGGCGCAAGCCUGAUCCAGCCAUGCCGCGUGAGUGAUGAAGGCCUUAGGGUUGUAAAG
Molecule: ribosomal RNA, 401 nt
Filed under: uncultured bacterium
Lineage: Bacteria
Description: bacterial SSU rRNA
Rfam family: Bacterial small subunit ribosomal RNA
Source: RNAcentral